This 89-nucleotide antisense RNA is filed under the name Olea europaea subsp. europaea. RNAcentral describes it as "Antisense RNA which regulates isiA expression". It matches the Rfam family "Antisense RNA which regulates isiA expression", at positions 99 to 187 of the family's 187-position model. Lineage: Eukaryota; Viridiplantae; Streptophyta; Magnoliopsida; Lamiales; Oleaceae. The record is from Rfam by way of RNAcentral.
AUUCCCUUGAAUACUAGAAUAAAAGCACCAAUACCUAACAAGAUUAAGUGAAUACCUAAAAUUGUGGUCAUUUUAUUUCGACCAUCCCC